UACAAAUAGCCUUUACUAUUUACUAUUUUAUAAAAGUUACUUUUAAAAAGCUACUUUAUUAAAGUUGCUUUAUAAAAGUCUUCCAUCUCCACAUGGUGUUGUAAAGUCUUCCAUCUCCACAUGGUGUUGUCCCCAAUAAUGCACUUCGUGGGGUCAUGUAUUCAUCUAGGCCGAGUUCGUCGUUACUCUGGAAUUUUUCUGCUAAAAUGUCUUCUUCAUUAUCUGUGUAUGGAUCCUCAAUGGCAAUUGACCAAAGGAAGAGGAAGAGGCAAAUCAGGAGGAAGAAAAUCCUCUGGGGGAAGAUCAUCCCCAGGAAGAUCAUAUUCUCAAGGAUCAUCAUACAGAUCCUCAUCUAAUUCUCCAGUUAUACAAAUGUGAAACAAGAGUUUGAUAAACUCUAAAAUAAUGCAGAAAGGCAAAUUAUUGCCAUCUCCUUCAAUUCAUCUGGAAGAUAUUCCAAUGGACACUCCAUUAUAUGGAUAUUUACAGGCAUACCUAGCCUCAUAAAAGAAAAGUGAUACAUUUGUUUCUAUAGCUAAAAAAGAAGACAAUGAUGAUAUCAAGUCCUCGAAAAAAUAGAAAACAAAGAGAUGAUAUUUCUUGUUGAAAACUCUGAGAUUCAGAGGAGAGAUGAAUCAUGGAAGAUAUUCUAGAAAUAUUUUAUGAUUAACUUAUAUUUCCCAGAUGAGUCAUACAAAACCCGUACUUAUUAUGAAACUAUUCUCACUUCUACAGGUAGUGUAGUUUUUUAGCAUUUUACUGGGUAUAAUACAGAAGAGAAUAUUUAUAACUUCUUAAAACUUAUUAUUAAAUAGAUUAUAUUCACUGAAGAUUGGGGGAUGACCACAAUGACCGAAAGACAGAUCAGUCUUAAAGAAUCUUAUAUAAAUUUUACUUAUUGGGAUUUUCCAGGCCAUUGAUAAAGUUCUUUAUUAUAAUAAUGAUUGAUAUAAACAUACUUGGUCUAUGAAAUUAUGUGCAAAGAUAUUUGCAGAACUAAUUCUUAAUUGGUUUUUGAAUAGGUGGUCAUACCACGUCCAACUACCAAGAAUUGCCUGAUCAAUUUCUUAAGUUAUACAAAGAAUGGACCCAAGUUUCUCCAAAGUUAAACGAGCUACAUCACACAGAUCAUAUCUGCAAUCUUGAAAAAAUCGAUCAAAUUUACUUCUUUAGUGAAUUUUUCAAUUCCAUGGA
Capsicum annuum is the source of this 1194-nucleotide long non-coding RNA. RefSeq lists it as uncharacterized. The transcript is spliced from 3 exons. The record is from RefSeq and is a predicted model, not a curated record. Lineage: Eukaryota; Viridiplantae; Streptophyta; Magnoliopsida; Solanales; Solanaceae.